AGGUGUUUAAUCUAAAUAAGACAAUUGAUUUCGACUCAAUUAAUCAUGGCCUAACCCAUGAACACCUU
Molecule: transfer RNA, 68 nt
Filed under: Pseudochirulus canescens (Lowland ringtail)
Lineage: Eukaryota; Metazoa; Chordata; Mammalia; Diprotodontia; Pseudocheiridae
Description: tRNA-Arg
Source: RNAcentral